Molecule: transfer RNA, 71 nt
Filed under: Phrynosoma platyrhinos (Desert horned lizard)
Lineage: Eukaryota; Metazoa; Chordata; Lepidosauria; Squamata; Phrynosomatidae
Description: tRNA-OTHER
Source: RNAcentral
GCCAGUGUGGUGUAGUGGUUUGAGUGUUGGACUACAACUCUGGAGACCAGGGUUCAAGUCCCACCUUGCCC